GGAAUAUUGGUCAAUGGGCGAGAGCCUGAACCAGCCAUGCCGCGUGCAGGAAGACGGCCUUCUGGGUUGUAAACUGCUUUUAGCAGGGAACAAAAAGGCCAUGCGUGGCAAAGUGCGUGUACCUGAAGAAUAAGGCACGGCGAACUCCGUGCCAGCAGCAGCGGUAAACCGGAGGGUCCAAGCGUUGUCCGGAUUUAUUGGGUUUAAAGGGUGCGUGUGCGGCCUUAUAAGUCAGUGGUGAAAUCCUCCAGCUCAACUGGAGAACUGCCAUUGAUACUGUAGGGCUUGAGUACAGACGAGGUAGGCGGAAUUUAUGGUGUAGCGGUGAAAUGCAUAGAUACCAUAAAGAACACCUAUUGCGAAGGCAGCUUACUAGACUGUAACUGACGCUGAGGCACGAAAGCGUGGGGAGCGAACAGG
RNAcentral lists this ribosomal RNA (420 nucleotides) under uncultured bacterium. Its description in RNAcentral is "bacterial SSU rRNA". It matches the Rfam family "Bacterial small subunit ribosomal RNA", at positions 358 to 776 of the family's 1533-position model. The record is from RNAcentral.